This 86-nucleotide transfer RNA is filed under the name Puccinia triticina. RNAcentral describes it as "tRNA-Thr". It matches the Rfam family "tRNA". Rfam says of the family: Transfer RNA (tRNA) molecules are approximately 80 nucleotides in length. Their secondary structure includes four short double-helical elements and three loops (D, anti-codon, and T loops). Lineage: Eukaryota; Fungi; Basidiomycota; Pucciniomycetes; Pucciniales; Pucciniaceae. The record is from RNAcentral. RNAcentral also lists the same sequence under 1 other name.
GCGUCUGUAGCCUAGUUGGUAAAGGCAGCACUCUAGUAUGUGUCUCAGCAUAGCUGAGGUUGUGAGUUCGACUCUCAUCAGACACA